This 366-nucleotide ribosomal RNA is filed under the name uncultured bacterium. RNAcentral's name for it is "partial 16S ribosomal RNA". It matches the Rfam family "Bacterial small subunit ribosomal RNA", at positions 338 to 701 of the family's 1533-position model. The record is from RNAcentral.
CCUACGGGUGGCAGCAGUGAGGAAUAUUGGUCAAUGGGCGGAAGCCUGAACCAGCCAAGUAGCGUGCAGGAUGACGGCCCUACGGGUUGUAAACUGCUGUUAUACGGGAAGAACGCGCCGUACGUGUAGGGCUUUGCAUGUACCGUAUGAAUAAGGACCGGCUAAUUCCGUGCCAGCAGCCGCGGUAAUACGGAAGGACCGGGCGUUAUCCGGAUUUAUUGGGUUUACAGGGAGCGUAGGCCGCAUGUCAAGCGUGCUGUGAAAUGUCCGGGCCCAACCCGGGCCUUGCAGCGCGAACGGGCGUGCUUGAGUCCGCGGCACGCAGGCGGCCUUCGUCUUGUAGCGGUGACCUGCUUAGCUAUGACG